UACGUAGGGUGCAAGCGUUGUCCGGAAUCAUUGGGCGUAAAGCGCGCGUAGGCGGCCCGAUAAGUCCGCUGUGAAAGUCAACGGCUCAACUGUUGAAAGGCGGUGGAUACUGUCGGGCUAGAGUGCGGAAGAGGUAAGUGGAAUUCCUGGUGUAGCGGUGGAAUGCGCAGAUAUCAGGAGGAACACCUAUAGCGAAGGCAGCUUGCUGGGACGUUACUGACGCUAAGGCGCGAAAGCGUGGGGAGCGAACAGG
This 253-nucleotide ribosomal RNA is filed under the name uncultured bacterium. RNAcentral describes it as "partial 16S ribosomal RNA". It matches the Rfam family "Bacterial small subunit ribosomal RNA", at positions 524 to 776 of the family's 1533-position model. The record is from RNAcentral.